Long non-coding RNA from Papaver somniferum (opium poppy), 1346 nucleotides. RefSeq lists it as uncharacterized. The record is from RefSeq and is a predicted model, not a curated record. The transcript has 2 exons. Lineage: Eukaryota; Viridiplantae; Streptophyta; Magnoliopsida; Ranunculales; Papaveraceae.
UCCUGAGAGAGAUUUUUUUUUUUCUUUUUUCUCGUAACCCUAAUAUUGUUUCCCACCGCCCACGACCCUCUUCUCCACCACCUUCCUUCUCUUCCAGAAGUUUAACAGAAGAUCGAUUUGAUUAAUUUGAUCAACUGGGAUUUUUUAUGUGUAGGUAAUAAGUUCUCUGUUUUCCUAUUUUUCAUAAAAAAAUCUCUGCGAAAAAUCUCACAUCUUCUUCUUCUUCCAUUAUUUGGCAAUCCCACAUAUAUCCAGUAUCAUCAACAACAUCAGAUGAGUUACUUAAUUGGAGAUGCUUGGAAAUUGUGGAUGUUUUUGUUCCAUGUAGUCAAUUUAUACUUUCAAGAUCUAGGUGAUGUUUUUGUUCUUAUCAUAACUGUCGAACCCUAUGUUUAUUUGUAGGAUUGUUGUGUACAAAUCACUCUACACAUUUGGAAUUUAUAUGUCUGAUGUCAUGGCUGCAGUUGACCAGUUAAUUUGGUCGAAAAAAUUCGGCAAUUUGAUUUAUCUUAGCUAUGAUUUACAAAACUAAUUGAUGCUUCUGAAAAAGAUUCAUGUUUCUGAACAAUAACUUCCUCUUUGCAUGUUAGUAAAGUAUGUACUUAUAUGUGCUACCCGGGAUUAAUUUAUUGAGCCUCCAAUAAUUUUCAAAUUUUAUCAAUCACAAUAAGCUAUCCAACAAAUCUACCCAAAUCACUGUUCAUCCUGAAUUCAUAGGUUGUCUAUCAUUAUGAUUGUUGGCGGUUUUGAAAAAGCUUCCAAGAUAACCAGUAUUGUUCAUAUGCAUGUGAAGUAUAAAUGUUACCUGUUACAGAUACUUGAUUAGUAAUCCAUAUUCAUACAAAGUUUGUUUGUCGUCAAUAAUGGAACUAUAUUCUUUCCUUUUUGAGUAACGACUAAGCAUUCAUUCCAUAUUACUACUGAUUGUUUCUAUUACUGUUAUAUCCUUAUACCCUGUUUUAAUCUCAAAACCGUGUUCGCGUCUUCUUACGUAAUUCUAUGUAUUAGUUUUAUCUGUGGUUUCAGGUGAUAAAUUCUGUUACGAGUUGGAAUUCAAUUGGAAUCGAAUAUUGCUACAAUGGCCAAAAGCCUUUUCCUGCACCUUUCUUAGAAAUUGCAAAGCAGUCUCCAUGGGUUGGUACAAAGGUAUUACUGAAGCCCUUCGUUUUGUAUAUUAUAUAAUGCAAAUUAAUAGUUCAGUGGUUGCUCUUAUUUCUUUUACUUAGGUUGACAGUUGAGAUGUUGUUUCAUUUUUGUAAUAUGCAACUUCUAGAAUGUCUAAGAACUUCCAUUUCCCUUGGACAGAAAUUAAAUUGGAGAGUCUGUUAAUUCUUAACUUUCAUCUC